AAUAUUUUAUCAUGAAUCAUGCAUCAUUGAUGCCAUGCUAUGUUAGGGUGCAUUGCAUUAGUGCACACGAAUAUGUUGCAUUGCAUUAUCCUUGUACCUAGCACUGCUCCAUGUACAUUGCUUUAUGUGCGGUACGGACAUAGUUUUGGAUUCAUUAGCCCUCGUAGGAAAGUCCUGGAACAGCCCUGAGGGGACCAGGCACAGGGUACUUCGGUACUAGUGAUUGAGAUGAAGUCCUGAG
This 241-nucleotide long non-coding RNA is filed under the name Manihot esculenta (cassava). RNAcentral describes it as "long non-coding RNA (MESC_LNC004720)". The record is from RNAcentral. Lineage: Eukaryota; Viridiplantae; Streptophyta; Magnoliopsida; Malpighiales; Euphorbiaceae.